RNAcentral lists this transfer RNA (65 nucleotides) under Cichlidogyrus casuarinus. RNAcentral's name for it is "tRNA-Glu". The record is from RNAcentral. Lineage: Eukaryota; Metazoa; Platyhelminthes; Monogenea; Dactylogyridea; Ancyrocephalidae.
GUUGGGUUAGUUUAUUUAAAAUAUUAUCUUUUCGUGAUAAAGAUUGGACGUGGUAUCACUCAGUU